RNAcentral lists this transfer RNA (72 nucleotides) under Troglonectes macrolepis. Its description in RNAcentral is "tRNA-Ile". Lineage: Eukaryota; Metazoa; Chordata; Actinopteri; Cypriniformes; Nemacheilidae. The record is from RNAcentral.
GGAACCGUGCCUGAAUUCCUAAGGACCACUUUGAUAGAGUGGCUCAUGGGGGUUAAAGCCCCCCCAGUUCCU